RNAcentral lists this ribosomal RNA (305 nucleotides) under uncultured bacterium. RNAcentral's name for it is "bacterial SSU rRNA". It matches the Rfam family "Bacterial small subunit ribosomal RNA", at positions 334 to 636 of the family's 1533-position model. The record is from RNAcentral.
UGUUCCUACGGGAGGCAGCAGUGAGGAAUAUUGGUCAAUGGUCGGGAGACUGAACCAGCCAAGCCGCGUGAGGGAGGAAGGUACAGAGUAUCGUAAACCUCUUUUGUCAGGGAACAAAGACUGGGACGCGUCCCCGGAUGAGUGUACCUGAAGAAAAAGCAUCGGCUAACUCCGUGCCAGCAGCCGCGGUAAUACGGAGGAUGCGAGCGUUAUCCGGAUUUACUGGGUGUAAAGGGAGCGUAGACGGCAUUGCAAGUCUGAUGUGAAAGAUUGGAGCUCAACCCCAGGCCUGCAUUGGAAACUGU